RNAcentral lists this long non-coding RNA (434 nucleotides) under Homo sapiens (human). Its description in RNAcentral is "HSALNT0229506". The record is from RNAcentral. Lineage: Eukaryota; Metazoa; Chordata; Mammalia; Primates; Hominidae.
AGCUACUGGGGAGCCUGAGGCAGGAGAAUCGCUUGAACCUGGGAGGCAGAGGUUACAGUGAGCCGAGAUUGCACCACUGCAGUCUGCCUGGGUGACAGAGCUAGACUCUGUCUCAAAAACAGAAAAACAAAAAACAACUUUCCAGUGGCUUCUCACUGCUCUGAGAAUAAACUCCAGGCUCUUCCAUUGCAACCAACAGGAUCUGUUGAUUCGACCCCAGCCCCUCUUUCCAGGCCCUCAUCACUUUGAUCCUCUCUUAACCUAUCCUGCUCCAGCUGCACUGGCUGCCUUCCUAUUCCUCCAGCAUACCAAGAUUGUUUCUGCCUCAGGGCCUUUGCAUCUGCUGUUCUCUUCGCCUGGACUCCUCUUUGUUCUUUUUUUUUUUUUUUCUUUGAGAUGGAGUCUCACUCUGUCGCCCAGGCUGAAGUGCAGUG